ACAGAGGGUGCAAGCGUUAUUCGGAAUUACUGGGCGUAAAGCGCAUGUAGGCGGUUCGGUAAGUCUGGUGUGAAAGCCCUCGACUCAAUCGGGGAAGUGCAUCGGAUACUGCCGGACUGGAGUACAGGAGAGGAGAACGGAAUUCCUGGUGUAGAGGUGGAAUUCGUAGAUAUCAGGAGGGACUGCGGCGGCUGAGGCGGUUCUCUGGUCUGUUACUCACUCUCCUCUUCUUUCUCUUCUUCCUCCCCCUG
Molecule: ribosomal RNA, 251 nt
Filed under: uncultured prokaryote
Description: partial 16S rRNA
Rfam family: Bacterial small subunit ribosomal RNA
Source: RNAcentral